This 72-nucleotide transfer RNA is filed under the name Camelus bactrianus (Bactrian camel). It matches the Rfam family "tRNA". Rfam says of the family: Transfer RNA (tRNA) molecules are approximately 80 nucleotides in length. Lineage: Eukaryota; Metazoa; Chordata; Mammalia; Artiodactyla; Camelidae. RNAcentral also lists the same sequence under 2 other names. The record is from Rfam by way of RNAcentral.
GAAGGUAUAGCUCAAGUGGUAGAGUGCGUGCUUAGCAUGCAUGAGGUCCUGGGUUCAACCCCAGUGCCUCCA